GACGAACGCUGGCGGCGUGCUUAACACAUGCAAGUCGAACGGAAAGGCCCUGCUUUUGUGGGGUGCUCGAGUGGCGAACGGGUGAGUAACACGUGAGUAACCUGCCCUUGACUUUGGGAUAACUUCAGGAAACUGGGGCUAAUACCGGAUAGGAGCUCCUGCUGCAUGGUGGGGGUUGGAAAGUUUCGGCGGUUGGGGAUGGACUCGCGGCUUAUCAGCUUGUUGGUGGGGUAGUGGCUUACCAAGGCUUUGACGGGUAGCCGGCCUGAGAGGGUUAACGGCGACAUUGGGACUGAGAUACGGCCCAGAAUCCUACGGGAGGCAGCAGUGGGGAAGAUUGCACAAUGGGCGGAAGCCUGAUGCAGAAACGCCGCGUGCGGGAUGACGGCCUUCGGGUUGUAAACCGCUUUCGCCUGUGACGAAGCGUGAGUGACGGUAAUGGGUAAAGAAGCACCGGCUAACUACGUG
This 468-nucleotide ribosomal RNA is filed under the name uncultured bacterium. Its description in RNAcentral is "partial 16S ribosomal RNA". It matches the Rfam family "Bacterial small subunit ribosomal RNA", at positions 28 to 507 of the family's 1533-position model. The record is from RNAcentral.